Molecule: ribosomal RNA, 405 nt
Filed under: uncultured bacterium
Lineage: Bacteria
Description: bacterial SSU rRNA
Rfam family: Bacterial small subunit ribosomal RNA
Source: RNAcentral
UGAGGAAUAUUGGUCAAUGGGCGAAAGCCUGAACCAGCAACGCCGCGUGAGGGAUGAAGGCCUUCGGGUUGUAAACCUCUUUUCUGGGAGAAGAGACAAGGACGGUAUCCCAGGAAUAAGUCUCGGCUAACUACGUGCCAGCAGCCGCGGUAAAACGUAGGAGGCUAGCGUUAUCCGGAUUUACUGGGCGUAAAGCGCACGCAGGCGGUCACGUAAGUCGGAUGUGAAAUCUCUCGGCUCAACUGGGAGGGGCCGUUCGAUACUGCGUGACUUGAGGUUGGGAGAGGGAGGCGGAAUUCCCGGUGUAGUGGUGGAAUGCGUAGAUAUCGGGAGGAACACCAGUGGCGAAAGCGGCUUCCUGGCCCACACCUGACGCUCAGGUGCGAAAGCGUGGGUAGCGAACGG